RNAcentral lists this ribosomal RNA (245 nucleotides) under uncultured bacterium. RNAcentral's name for it is "partial 16S ribosomal RNA". It matches the Rfam family "Bacterial small subunit ribosomal RNA", at positions 109 to 353 of the family's 1533-position model. The record is from RNAcentral.
AGUAAUGUCUGGGAAACUGCCUGAUGGAGGGGGGAUAACUACUGGAAACGGUAGCUAAUACCGCAUAACGUCGCAAGACCAAAGAGGGGGACCUUCGGGCCUCUUGCCAUCGGAUGUGCCCAGAUGGGAUUAGCUAGUAGGUGGGGGUAACGGCUCACCAAGGCGACGAUCCCUAGCUGGUCUGAGAGGAUGACCAGCCACACUGGAACUGAGACACGGUCCAGACUCCUACGGGAGGCAGCAUG